CUACGGGAGGCAGCAGUGAGGGAUAUUGCGCAAUGGGCGAAAGCCUGACGCAGCGACGCCGCGUGGGUGAAGAAGGGUUUCGGCUCGUAAAGCCCUUUUCUGUGUGACGAUAAUGACGGUAGCACGGGAAGAAGUGUCGGCUAACUACGUGCCAGCAGCCGCGGUAAAACGUAGGACGCGAACGUUAUCCGGAAUUACUGGGCGUAAAGGGCGCGCAGGCGGUGGUUUAAGUUAGGCAUGAAAGCUCCCAGGCUAAACCGGGAGAGGAUGUCUGAUACUGGAUCACUAGAGUGUGAUAGAGGGGUGUAGAAUUCCGCGUGUAGUGGUGAAAUGCGUAGAUAUGCGGAGGAAUACCAGUGGCGAAGGCGGCACCCUGGAUCAGCACUGACGCUGAGGCGCGAAAGCAUGGGUAGCGAACGGGAUUAGAAACCCGUGUAGUCC
Molecule: ribosomal RNA, 441 nt
Filed under: uncultured bacterium
Lineage: Bacteria
Description: bacterial SSU rRNA
Rfam family: Bacterial small subunit ribosomal RNA
Source: RNAcentral